GGCGUAAAGAGCUCGUAGGUGGUUUGUCGCGUUGUUCGUGAAAUCUCACGGCUUAACUGUGAGCGUGCGGGCGAUACGGGCAGACUUGAGUACUGCAGGGGAGACUGGAAUUCCUGGUGUAGCGGUGGAAUGCGCAGAUAUCAGGAGGAACACCGGUGGCGAAGGCGGGUCUCUGGGCAGUAACUGACGCUGAGGAGCGAAAGCGUGGGGAGCGAACAGGAUUAGAUACCCUGGUAGUCCACGCCGUAAACGGUGGGUACUAGGUGUGGGUUUCCUUCCUUGGGAUCCGUGCCGUAGCUAACGCAUUAAGUACCCCGCCUGGGGAGUACGGCCGCAAGGCUAAAACUCAAAGAAAUUGACGGGGGCCCGCACAAGCGGCGGAGCAUGUGGAUUAAUUCGAUGCAACGCGAAGAACCUUACCUGGGUUUGACAUGCACAGGACGCCGGCAGAGAUGUCGGUUCCCUUGUGGCCUGUGUGCAGGUGGUGCAUGGCUGUCGUCAGCUCGUGUCGUGAGAUGUUGGGUUAAGUCCCGCAACGAGCGCAACCCUUGUCUCAUGUUGCCAGCGGGUAAUGCCGGGGACUCGUGAGAGACUGCCGGGGUCAACUCGGAGGAAGGUGGGGAUGAUGUCAAGUCAUCAUGCCCCUUAUGUCCAGGGCUUCACACAUGCUACAAUGGCCGGUACAAAGGGCUGCGAUGCCGCGAGGUUAAGCGAAUCCUUUUAAAGCCGGUCUCAGUUCGGAUCGGGGUCUGCAACUCGACCCCGUGAAGUCGGAGUCGCUAGUAAUCGCA
This 791-nucleotide ribosomal RNA is filed under the name uncultured Mycobacterium sp. Its description in RNAcentral is "bacterial SSU rRNA". It matches the Rfam family "Bacterial small subunit ribosomal RNA", at positions 557 to 1346 of the family's 1533-position model. The record is from RNAcentral. Lineage: Bacteria; Bacillati; Actinomycetota; Actinomycetes; Mycobacteriales; Mycobacteriaceae.